GAAACCGCAGGUCAGCGGCAGGACUCCCCCGCCUCUCUCCUAAAGCGGGUGUCGCAGGUUCGAAUCCUGCCGGGGGCA
RNAcentral lists this transfer RNA (78 nucleotides) under Actinobacteria bacterium OK006. RNAcentral's name for it is "tRNA-Arg". The record is from RNAcentral. Lineage: Bacteria; Bacillati; Actinomycetota; Actinomycetes.